AAUAAAUAUAUAUUUUUGUGGUAGUAUAAUGGCAUAAAUUUGCACUACAAAUACUAAUACAUGAACAGUGUACUAGAGUCGUGAUCAAUUAACAGCAUAAAGACUAACAAAUGAAGCUUCAUACAUCACUAAAGGAAUUUGGCGAGCCAGAUACAUUAUAGGGGCAUUUUGAAAUCUACAAAACUAUGAAACUACAGAUAGGUACAAGAUUACAUUUGGUGUGUAAAGUCAUGACCUAUAGUUGGUUCUGGGAAAGUUGAACAACAUAUAUUGUGGUGGCCGUAUUGGAUUGGUG
This is a non-coding RNA of Pelobates cultripes (western spadefoot toad), 295 nucleotides long. Lineage: Eukaryota; Metazoa; Chordata; Amphibia; Anura; Pelobatidae. The record is from the annotation of a GenBank genome assembly.